GAAAUGCGAUAAGUAAUGUGAAUUGCAGAAUUCAGUGAAUCAUCGAAUCUUUGAACGCACCUUGCGCCCUCUGGUAUUCCGGAGGGCAUGCCUGUUUGAGUGUCAUUAAAUUCUCAACUUCAUUAGUUUUUAUAACUGAUUGGAGCUUGGAUGUGGGGGUUUGCUGGCGUCUUUAGAUGUUUUCGGCUCCCCUUAAAUGCAUUAGUAGGAACCCGUUUGUUGGCAUCCAUUGUGUGAUAAUUAUCUACGCUUUGGUUAGUUCAACAGGCUCUAGUGAACUUUAUACCGCCUUUUCAGAACACUUAGGUGUCUCUGGUAUGGGUUUUGCACUUCGGUGCUUUACCUGGGUUGUUGGGUUUUGCGCUUCGGUGCUUUACCUGGGUAUUGGGUUUUGCAUUUCGGUGCUUUACCUGUUCUUUUCAUUAGAGUAGGAACUCUGCUUUCUAACCGUCUGUGUAUUGCGGACAACUUUUGACAACUUGACCUCAAAUCAGGUAGGACUACCCGCUGAACUUAA
RNAcentral lists this ribosomal RNA (517 nucleotides) under Marasmius sp. 394-73. Its description in RNAcentral is "eukaryotic LSU rRNA". The stretch from base 1 to 105 matches the Rfam family "5.8S ribosomal RNA", at positions 50 to 154 of the family's 154-position model. The record is from RNAcentral. Lineage: Eukaryota; Fungi; Basidiomycota; Agaricomycetes; Agaricales; Marasmiaceae.